UGGACUUUGCACACCACGUGUUCGUCUGUGCCCUGCAUGACGUCCUUGGAAGGCAGCAGCACCUGUGAGGUGGCUGCGUACUUGCCCCCUCUCAGGACUGAUGGGAAGCCCCGGGUGCUGCUGAUGUCAGAGUUGUUCUUGUAUUUCCAGGAGAAAGUGAUGGAGUCGGGAAGGAAGUCCUGUGCGAGGCAGCCAACGGCCACGCUGCUCGUAUCCGACGGGGAAUUCUCACAGGAGACGAGGGGGAAAAGGGUUGGGGCGGAUGCACUCCUGAGGAGACGGUGACCAGGGUUCCCUGGCCCCAGUAGUCAAAGUAGUCACAUUGUGGGAGGCCCCAUUAAGGGGUGCACAAAAACCUGAGUGUGUCUCGCACAGUAAUACACAGCCGUGUCUGCGGCGGUCACAGAGCUCAGCUUCAGGGAGAACUGGUUCUUGGACGUGUCUACGGAUAUGGUGACUCGACUCUUGAGGGACGGGUUGUAGUAGGUGCUCCCACUAUAAUAGAUACUCCCAAUCCACUCCAGCCCCUUCCCUGGGGGCUGGCGGAUCCAGCCCCAGUAGUAACUACUACUGCUGAUGGAGCCACCAGAGACAGUGCAGGUGAGGGACAGGGUCUCCGAAGGCUUCACCAGUCCUGGGCCCGACUCCUGCAGCUGCAGCUGGG
RNAcentral lists this long non-coding RNA (664 nucleotides) under Homo sapiens (human). Its description in RNAcentral is "non-protein coding lnc-TMEM121-2:20". The record is from RNAcentral. Lineage: Eukaryota; Metazoa; Chordata; Mammalia; Primates; Hominidae.